RNAcentral lists this ribosomal RNA (115 nucleotides) under uncultured eukaryote. RNAcentral describes it as "partial small subunit ribosomal RNA". It matches the Rfam family "Bacterial small subunit ribosomal RNA", at positions 1411 to 1525 of the family's 1533-position model. The record is from RNAcentral.
UGACCUGCACCAGAAGUAGAUAGUUUAACCGCGAGGGGGACGUUUACCACGGUGUGGUUCAUGACUGGGGUGAAGUCGUAACAAGGUAGCCGUAGGUGAACCUGCAGAAGGAUCA